Oncorhynchus nerka (sockeye salmon) is the source of this 765-nucleotide long non-coding RNA. RefSeq lists it as uncharacterized. The record is from RefSeq and is a predicted model, not a curated record. The transcript is spliced from 2 exons. Lineage: Eukaryota; Metazoa; Chordata; Actinopteri; Salmoniformes; Salmonidae.
CCUUUGCUUGGGUCCUAAUCCAGCAUACCCGGAAGCUACAGAGAUAGGGAACAGAACAAACAAACGCCCUCAUCCACAACAUAGAUAAGUAUAAUACAUAUUACUUAUAUUAAAUAUGAACAUUGACGUGAAAUGUGUGCACUAAGACAGAGAAGUUAACUUGUGUGUCGACCCACAUUGUUAACUUAUCUUACAUUUACAUUACAUUUAAGUCAUUUAGCAGACGCUCUUAUCCAGAGCGACUUACAAAUUGGUAUAACUCUUAUAAGAUUUAUUAUUAUAAAUUAUUAUUAUUAUAACGGAGCAGUGAGGAGUAAUGAAUCUGUGCGUGCGUUAAAGAAAGAAAUGCUGCCUGCGACCAGUGACGGACUUCUACGUCACAAUUAUUAAAGAGAUGCUUUACAUUGAAAUACAGAUAGAUGCAGUAGUCCCAGAGUUAAUGAUCCAAGAUAUGUUUUGAUGUGAGAGGAUGCCAACCCCCAGUCCCAUCAUCGCCACCUCACCCGCUUUUAAGGUGGCAGUGUCUCUAGUUGGCCCAAAUGUUAUGUAAUUGUGAUGAACUGAGAGAAUAUUUAGGUUGCCACUGUGAGGGCCACAGUGCUACCUUCCCUGCUCUUAUGUGUUUACCUCUUUCCCUUUCUGACUUUUACACCUCUCCCGCUACCUCUUUCUUUAUAAUGCACAACAUCUGUGCAUUGAUGUACAGAUUGAACUUGUAUUUAUAACACUUGGAUAAUGAGCUUUUCAAUAAAGCGUUUCACAUUC